RNAcentral lists this ribosomal RNA (492 nucleotides) under uncultured bacterium. Its description in RNAcentral is "partial 16S ribosomal RNA". It matches the Rfam family "Bacterial small subunit ribosomal RNA", at positions 29 to 507 of the family's 1533-position model. The record is from RNAcentral.
AGUGAACGCUGGCGGUAGGCCUAACACAUGCAAGUCGAACGGCAGCACAGUAAGAGCUUGCUCUUACGGGUGGCGCGUGGCGGACGGGUGCGGAAUACAUCGGAAUCUACUUUUUCGUGGGGGAUAACGUAGGGAAACUUACGCUAAUACCGCAUACGACCUACGGGUGAAAGCAGGGGAUCUUCGGACUUUGCGCGAUUGAAUGAGCCGAUGUCGGAUUAGCUAGUUGGCGGGGUAAAGGCCCACCAAGGCGACGGUCCGUAGCUGGUCUGAGAGGAUGAUCAGCCACACGGGAACUGAGACACGGUCCAGACUCCUACGGGAGGCAGCAGUGGGGAAUAUUGGACAAUGGGCGCAAGCCUGAUCCAGCCAUACCGCGUGGGUGAAGAAGGACUUCGGGUUGUAAAGCCCUUUUGUUGGGAAAGAAGAGCAGUAGGUUAAUACCGCGCUGUUCUGACGGUACCCAAAGAAGAAGCACCGGCUAACUUCGUG